Molecule: ribosomal RNA, 253 nt
Filed under: uncultured bacterium
Lineage: Bacteria
Description: partial 16S ribosomal RNA
Rfam family: Bacterial small subunit ribosomal RNA
Source: RNAcentral
UACGGAGGGGACUAGCGUUGUUCGGAAUUACUGGGCGUAAAGCGCACGUAGGCGGAUUUGUAAGUCAGGGGUGAAAUCCCGGGGCUCAACCUCGGAACUGCCUUUGAUACUGCAAAUCUCGAGUCCGGAAGAGGUGAGUGGAAUUCCUAGUGUAAAGGUGAAAUUCGUAGAUAUUAGGAAGAACACCAGUGGCGAAGGCGGCUCACUGGUCCGGUACUGACGCUGAGGUGCGAAAGCGUGGGGAGCAAACAGG